CGACCCGUUGGGUGUCGGUCUAAGGACCGUGCGGGCAGACCGCGCGGCGCCCUCAAGGGCGUCCGCUCGGACCGCCGGCUCCCGGCCCGCCCGACCCGACGGUACGACAGUGGCGCGGGGCCGCGACAACAAGUUCGCGUCCGGCCCGUCGCAAGUGCUUGCGGACAAUCCGGCUGUUCAUCGGACCUAGUGCCGACACCGGACCCGCUCGACUGCUGGCGGCGGUGUCCUCGGACAGACCCCGUCACACGCCGGUCGGCGACGCUAUAGCUUUGGGUACUUUCAGGACCCGUCUUGAAACACGGACCAAGGAGUCUAGCAUGCGCGCGAGUCAUUGGGACCGUUGCGAAACCCACAGGCGAAAUGAAAGUGAAGGCGCGCCUAGCGCGCGCCGAGGGCGGAUGCGACGGACGACAAGUGCCGACGCCGCACGCCCGGGGCGUCUCGCGCUCAUCGCGAGCUGAGGCGCACCCARAGCGUGCAUGCUGGGACCC
This 494-nucleotide ribosomal RNA is filed under the name Cafius filum. RNAcentral describes it as "partial large subunit ribosomal RNA". Lineage: Eukaryota; Metazoa; Arthropoda; Insecta; Coleoptera; Staphylinidae. The record is from RNAcentral.